RNAcentral lists this small RNA (119 nucleotides) under Klebsiella pneumoniae. RNAcentral describes it as "RtT RNA". It matches the Rfam family "RtT RNA", at positions 15 to 128 of the family's 130-position model. From Rfam's summary of the family: This family represents a bacterial cis-regulatory element known as RtT RNA. The record is from RNAcentral. Lineage: Bacteria; Pseudomonadati; Pseudomonadota; Gammaproteobacteria; Enterobacterales; Enterobacteriaceae.
CACGGGGAAGGAUGAGAAGCUUCGACCAAGGUUCGACUCGAGCGAAGCGAGAGAACGUUGCCGCAGGCAAUGGCCCGAAGGCGAGGCGCUUUAGCGCCGAGUAAUCCUUACCCCACCAC